RNAcentral lists this long non-coding RNA (628 nucleotides) under Gossypium barbadense (sea-island cotton). RNAcentral's name for it is "long non-coding RNA (GBAR_LNC022650)". The record is from RNAcentral. Lineage: Eukaryota; Viridiplantae; Streptophyta; Magnoliopsida; Malvales; Malvaceae.
GGCGCCGCUGAGCACAAGGGAGAAGUUCAUCACGAAGGCGGCCAUGGCUAUGGGGCCGCUGCGGCCGCCGGUCACGGUCACGGCGAGCAGCACAAGGAAGGGUUUAUGGAUAAGAUCAAGGACAAGAUCCACGGCGAGGGAGGUCAUGAACCUGGUCAUGAGGGCGAAAAGAAAAAGAAGAAGGAGAAGAAGAAGCAUGAAGAUGGCCAUGAAAGCAGCAGCAGCAGCGACAGUGAUUAGAUCUUCCAUCAUCGUCUUAGUAUUCCUCUCCCUUAUGGUAUCGGGUAAAUUUUUUUGGAUUUUUUUGCUAUUUUAUAUGCAGAAAUCUUGAUGGCGUUUUAAUAAUUGAAAUAAAUUUAACCUUAUAUUGUUGAUUAAGCAUGGAAUUUUCUACCAAGAAAAUGGUUAAAACAGCAACAUUUUCUAGAUCCUAGCAAAUCUAGUAACAAAGGGGAAUUAUGAAUUAAUAGUAUUUUUAAUGUGAAGUUAUUACGAAAAUUUUAAUUUCUUUUAUUUUAAUACGUUUUAAUUAUAAUAAAAAAUAUUUUAGUUAGUAGCAGGUUAAAUAGAUAUAAAGGUUUUGAUCUCAUUUUUUAAAAUAAAUGAAUAUAUUUUUUAUUGCAGGUGC